GGGUGAAACUUCAUCAAACCUACAGAAGAUAUUACACCCUCUCCAACCAUGCAACAUGGGACUAGACAUAGAAGUACAGGAACUACUCCCAUUAGUUUGAGCUGUACAAGAUCUACAAAAAUAUCCCGCCUGCCUCAAAGGUGCAUAGGAUCGACCAUGGUCCAGCACUAAUGAUACAAGUAUCAACCAGAGUUACAAUGACGUGGUAGUAAGUCUUUAAAGGCCACCGAGCGGCCUCCAAAAAUGAAAAAAAAAUCUAUUUAGUCGGCUAUUAAAUGCCCCGACCAUUAAGAUUUAAAAACAAAAAUCAAACAAAACUAAACAGCCUUAUUGAUAACAAAAUAAUUUACGAAAAAAACUUGACCGACAUGAAUUAUGAACAACAACCACUGUACUACAUGUUCCUGGCUUUAGAAUGGACAUUGGCACAUAAACAAUGUGGUGGCCAUAAACCCAACC
This 459-nucleotide long non-coding RNA is filed under the name Mytilus galloprovincialis (Mediterranean mussel). Lineage: Eukaryota; Metazoa; Mollusca; Bivalvia; Mytilida; Mytilidae. The record is from RNAcentral.